UACCAUGUGCAAUAUCACGAAGUUGUGCAACUUCCUAAAACUUCACUUGCUCUAAAUUAAGCUUAGCAGCUUGAGAGAGACUGCACAUUUUUAUUGCUGUCUUUCUCCCCUUCAAACUUAAUACAGAAACAUGGAUACAAAAAUCAUCUCCCUCCGGGAGUACGGAGUCAUAUACUCCCACUUGCCGGAAAGCUAUGUCAGACCAGAAUUCGACCGGCCUCGCUUGUCCAAAGACUCCGAAUGCAAAAACAUUCCCGUUGUUGAACUGGCUUCUCCCAACAGAGCUCAAACUGUGCAGCAAAUUGGUGAUGCCUGCAAAAAUAAGGGUUUUUUUUUAAGGUUAUUAACCAUGGGGUGUCAACGGAAGGAGUGUAAAAAAAAUGAUAGGGGUGGCCAAUGAGUUUUUCAACCUUCCUGUGGAGGAAAAGCUGAAGCUGUGUACUCAGAUGACCCCUAAAAAACUAUGAGACUUUCUACAAGUUUUAAUGUGUAGAAAGAGAAGGCUCAUAACUGGAGAGUUUACCUCCGCCUUAUGAACCUUCUCUUUCUUUACAUUAAAAAAACCCAUAAUUUUUGCAGGCAUCACCAAUUUGCUGCACAGUUUGGGCUCUGUUGGGAGAAGCCAGGUCAAUAACGGGAAUGUUCUCGUACUCGGAGACUUUGGACAAGCGAUGCCGGUAGGAUUCUGGUCUGACAUAGCUUUCCGGCAAGUGGGAGUAUGUGACUCCGGAGGGAGAGGACUUUUGUAUCCAUGUUUCUGUAUUAAGUUUGAAGGGGGAGACAAAGACGGCACCAAAAAUUGUGCAGUCUCUCUCAGCUGCUAAGCUUAAUUCCGAGCAAGUAAAGUUUUAGGAAGUUGCACAACUUAGUGAUAUUGCACAUGGUAUUUAUACAGGAGUCGAUGCCCUUAAAGUCAUAGAUUCACCAUUGUCUUGUAGGCUUCCGUCUUGCAGCCAAUCUUUAUGUGAUGCCUGAUGUAGGAUAAUUGGACAGCAAAGUUGCUUAUAUGUAAAAACUACCGACAAUCAAAUUAUUAAUUAUGUCUUAUUUUCUA
This is a long non-coding RNA of Malus domestica (apple), 1054 nucleotides long. RefSeq lists it as uncharacterized. Lineage: Eukaryota; Viridiplantae; Streptophyta; Magnoliopsida; Rosales; Rosaceae. The record is from RefSeq and is a predicted model, not a curated record.